RNAcentral lists this non-coding RNA (43 nucleotides) under Trichobilharzia regenti. Lineage: Eukaryota; Metazoa; Platyhelminthes; Trematoda; Strigeidida; Schistosomatidae. The record is from RNAcentral.
CCAGCUGACGAGUCCCAAGUAGGACGAAAUGCGCAUCCUGGAU